This 501-nucleotide ribosomal RNA is filed under the name uncultured bacterium. RNAcentral describes it as "partial 16S ribosomal RNA". It matches the Rfam family "Bacterial small subunit ribosomal RNA", at positions 28 to 523 of the family's 1533-position model. The record is from RNAcentral.
GAUGAAUGCUGGCGGCAUGCCUUACACAUGCAAGUCGAACGGCAGCACGGGUGCUUGCACCUGGUGGCGAGUGGCGAACGGGUGAGUAAUACAUCGGAACGUACCUUAUCGUGGGGGAUAACGCAGCGAAAGCUGUGCUAAUACCGCAUACGCCCUGAGGGGGAAAGCGGGGGAUCGAAAGACCUCGCGCGAUUAGAGCGGCCGAUGCCUGAUUAGCUUGUUGGUGGGGUAAAAGCCCACCAAGGCGACGAUCAGUAGCUGGUCUGAGAGGACGAUCAGCCACACUGGGACUGAGACACGGCCCAGACUCCUACGGGAGGCAGCAGUGGGGAAUUUUGGACAAUGGGGGCAACCCUGAUCCAGCAAUGCCGCGUGAGUGAAGAAGGCCUUCGGGUUGUAAAGCUCUUUUGUCAGGGAAGAAACACCGGCUCUAACACAGUCCGGGAAUGACGGUACCUGAAGAAUAAGCACCGGCUAACUACGUGCCAGCCGCCGCAGUAA